CGGUGGGUAGCUCAGGUAGUAGAGCGUCAAACCUAGAACUUUGAAAGUCGCUGGUGCAAGUCCAGCCUUACCGGACA
Molecule: transfer RNA, 77 nt
Filed under: Betaproteobacteria bacterium
Lineage: Bacteria; Pseudomonadati; Pseudomonadota; Betaproteobacteria
Description: tRNA-OTHER
Rfam family: tRNA
About the family: Transfer RNA (tRNA) molecules are approximately 80 nucleotides in length.
Source: RNAcentral